Molecule: small nuclear RNA, 100 nt
Filed under: Dasypus novemcinctus (nine-banded armadillo)
Lineage: Eukaryota; Metazoa; Chordata; Mammalia; Cingulata; Dasypodidae
Source: RNAcentral
GUGCUUUAGCUUAUAUACAAUAACUGGAAAGAUAUGGAGAAGAUCCUCACAGUCUCUGGGCAAGGAUGAGAAGCAUUUUCAUAAAGCUUCUCAUAUUUUU